CUCAGAGAAGGCUUUUUGCCUCCACUAGUUCUAAUAGGGUCAAUACCUGCUUGGCACGUUUCUUCAGAUGAACAUUUUGAAAAUAAAAUGAGUUACAGCCAGCAGAAAUGGAAUCAAUACAUGCCAGGAUUAACCUCAGUGAUUAAUCCCAGAAUCAAUGAACCAAAUGAUUAUCAUUUCUGUCAGCUGAAGAUUCUGGGAUGCAAAAUUGUGAUUAAAGAGGCACUACCCAGACAAGGAGUCCAUGUCAUGAAAUGAGCUAUACCUCUGGAGUCAGAUCUGCUUUGGUGUGAGGCCCUACUGAUUUCUCAGCUUUUUAACCUUGGAGAAAUGACUUAGCCUGCCCUUUGUUUCAAUUCCUUAACUGUAAUAUGGGGAUGGUGAUAAUAAAGAGGUUGUUG
Long non-coding RNA from Canis lupus familiaris (dog), 401 nucleotides. RefSeq lists it as uncharacterized. The record is from RefSeq and is a predicted model, not a curated record. The transcript is spliced from 3 exons. Lineage: Eukaryota; Metazoa; Chordata; Mammalia; Carnivora; Canidae.